This is a non-coding RNA of Nephila pilipes (giant wood spider), 944 nucleotides long. NCBI's taxonomy places the organism in Eukaryota, Metazoa, Arthropoda, Arachnida, Araneae, Nephilidae. The record is from the annotation of a GenBank genome assembly.
AUCGGAGGUAUUGAUCAAUAGGAACAGACGGGGUCAUUCGUACUGAGACGCUAGAGGUGAAAUUCUUGGACCGUCGCAGGACGAACUACUGCGAAAGCAUUUGCCAAGAAUGUUUUCAUUGAUCAAGAACGAAAGUCAGAGGUUCGAAGGCGAUACAUACUGCUGUAGUUGUGACCGAAAACUAUGCCAGCCAGCGAUCCGGUGAUGUUUGAGAAAGGACACGCCGGGCAGCUUCCGUGAAACCAGAGCCUUCUGGGUUCCGGGGAAAGUAUGGUUGCAAAACUGAAACUUAAAGGAAUUGAUGAAAGGGUAUUACCAGGGAUAGAUUCUGCUGCUCAAUUUGAUUCAACACGGGAAAACUCAACCGGUCCGGACACGGCAAGGAUUGACAGAUUAAUGGCUCUUUCUUGAUUCCGUGGGUGGUGGUGCAUGGUCGUUUUUAGUUCGUGGGCAUGACCUGUCUGGUUAAUUCCAAUAACGAGCGAGACUCUUGCCUGCUAAAUAGGCUAUUCCGUGAUGUUUCACAGAAAGAUAGUCUUCUUAGAGGAACAAGCGGUUUCGAGCCACACGAAAAAGAGCAAAAACAGGUCAGUGAUGUCCGGGGCCGCACGCGCAAUACGAUGAAGGCGGCAGCGUGUGCUUUUUUUCCCUGGCCAAGAGGUCCGGGCAACCCGAUGAAACGCCUUUGUGCUGGGGACUGUAACUGGCCCCUUGAACAAGGAAUCCCUAGUUGGCUCGAGUCAUUAACUCGUGCCGACUAAGUCCCUGCUCUUUUUACAUAUUGCCCAUCGUUAAUACCUAUUGAGUGGUUCGGUGAGGUCUUCGAACCUGCGCCUGCGUUCCUUAAUGGACACGAGGUGUCGGAAAGAUGAUCGAACUCGAUCACUUAGAGGAAUUACAAGUCGUAAUAAGAUUUCCGUAGGUGAACCUGCGGAAGGAUCAUU